UACGUAGGUGGCAAGCGUUGUCCGGAUUUACUGGGCGUAAAGAGCGCGCAGGCGGUCGUUCAAGUCGCGUGUGAAAGCCCCCGGCUCAACUGGGGAGGGUCACGCGAUACUGAUCGACUGGAAGGCAGGAGAGGGUAGUGGAAUUCCAGGUGUAGCGGUGAAAUGCGUAGAUAUCUGGAGGAACACCGGUGGCGAAGGCGGCAUUCUGGACUGCAACUGACACUGAAAAACGAAAGCCAGGGGAGCAAACGGG
RNAcentral lists this ribosomal RNA (253 nucleotides) under uncultured bacterium. RNAcentral's name for it is "partial 16S ribosomal RNA". It matches the Rfam family "Bacterial small subunit ribosomal RNA", at positions 524 to 776 of the family's 1533-position model. The record is from RNAcentral.